CAAUAGCGUAUAUUAAAGUUGUUGCAGUUAAAAAGCUCGUAGUUGGAUUUCUGGUGGGAGCGAUCGGUCUGGCGCUUAGCGCGAGUACUUGCAUCGUCUCCGGCCAUCCUUGGGGAGAGUCUGUCUGGCAUUAAGUUGUCGGGCAGAGGAUCCUCAUCGUUUACUGUGAAAAAAUUAGAGUGUUCAAAGCAGGCUUAUGCUGUUGAAUAUAUUAGCAUGGAAUAAUAAGAUAGGACUUUGGUACUAUUUUGUUGGUUUGCGCACCAAAGUAAUGAUUAAUAGGGACAGUUGGGGGUAUUCGUAUUCCGUUGUCAGAGGUGAAAUUCUUGGAUUUACGGAAGACGAACUACUGCGAAAGCAUUUACCAAGGAUGUUUUCAUUAA
Molecule: ribosomal RNA, 383 nt
Filed under: uncultured eukaryote
Lineage: Eukaryota
Description: partial 18S ribosomal RNA
Rfam family: Eukaryotic small subunit ribosomal RNA
Source: RNAcentral